This 151-nucleotide unclassified non-coding RNA is filed under the name uncultured Dothideomycetes. Its description in RNAcentral is "sequence contains ITS2". The record is from RNAcentral. Lineage: Eukaryota; Fungi; Ascomycota; Dothideomycetes.
CAACCGUCAAGCGUGGCUUGGUGUUGGGCGUUUUGUCCCGCCGCGUGCGCGGACUCGCCUCAAAAGAAUCGGCGUCUGCAUGUGGGCCUGAUGCGUAGUAAAAUUCGCAGACCAGGCUGGCGUGCUGGCGGCCGGAACGCACUAUAUCUUU